GCGGAGGAAAAGAAACCAACAGGGAUUGCCUCAGUAGCGGCGAGUGAAGCGGCAAAAGCUCAAAUUUGAAAUCUGGCGUCUUUGGCGUCCGAGUUGUAAUUUGAAGAAGGUAUCUUUGGGCCCGGCUCUUGUCUAUGUUCCUUGGAACAGGACGUCACAGAGGGUGAGAAUCCCGUGCGAUGAGAUGACCCGGGUCUGUGUAAAGUUCCUUCGACGAGUCGAGUUGUUUGGGAAUGCAGCUCUAAGUGGGUGGUAAAUUCCAUCUAAAGCUAAAUAUUGGCGAGAGACCGAUAGCGAACAAGUACAGUGAUGGAAAGAUGAAAAGAACUUUGAAAAGAGAGUGAAAAAGUACGUGAAAUUGUUGAAAGGGAAGGGCUUGAGAUCAGACUUGGUAUUUUGCAUGCUGCUCUCUCGGGGGCGGCCGCUGCGGUUUACCGGGCCAGCAUCGGUUUGGAGCGGCAGGAUAAUGGCGGAGGAAUGUGGCACGGCUUCUGCUGUGUGUUAUAGCCUCUGACGAUACUGCCAGCCUAGACCGAGGACUGCGGUUUUUACCUAGGAUGUUGGCAUAAUGAUCUUAAGUC
Molecule: ribosomal RNA, 581 nt
Filed under: Candida albicans
Lineage: Eukaryota; Fungi; Ascomycota; Pichiomycetes; Serinales; Debaryomycetaceae
Description: LSU rRNA
Rfam family: Eukaryotic large subunit ribosomal RNA
Source: RNAcentral